RNAcentral lists this ribosomal RNA (634 nucleotides) under uncultured bacterium. RNAcentral's name for it is "bacterial SSU rRNA". It matches the Rfam family "Bacterial small subunit ribosomal RNA", at positions 349 to 993 of the family's 1533-position model. The record is from RNAcentral.
CAGCAGUGGGGAAUAUUGCACAAUGGGCGCAAGCCUGAUGCAGCAACGCCGCGUGAGGGACGAAGGCCUUCGGGUUGUAAACCUCUUUUAGUAGGGAAGAAGCGAAAGUGACGGUACCUGCAGAAAAAGCACCGGCUAACUACGUGCCAGCAGCCGCGGUAAUACGUAGGGUGCAAGCGUUAUCCGGAAUUAUUGGGCGUAAAGAGCUCGUAGGCGGUUUGUCGCGUCUGCUGUGAAAACUGGAGGCUCAACCUCCAGCCUGCAGUGGGUACGGGCAGACUAGAGUGCGGUAGGGGAGAUUGGAAUUCCUGGUGUAGCGGUGGAAUGCGCAGAUAUCAGGAGGAGCACCGAUGGCGAAGGCAGAUCUCUGGGCCGUAACUGACGCUGAGGAGCGAAAGCAUGGGGAGCGAACAGGAUUAGAUACCCUGGUAGUCCAUGCCGUAAACGUUGGGAACUAGAUGUAGGGACCAUUCCACGGUUUCUGUGUCGCAGCUAACGCAUUAAGUUCCCCGCCUGGGGAGUACGGCCGCAAGGCUAAAACUCAAAGGAAUUGACGGGGGCCCGCACAAGCGGCGGAGCAUGCGGAUUAAUUCGAUGCAACGCGAAGAACCUUACCAAGGCUUGACAUAUACGA